UGCCAGCCGCCGCGGUAAUACGGGAGUGGCAAGCGUUAUCCGGAAUUAUUGGGCGUAAAGCGUCCGCAGGCGGCCCUGUAAGUCUGCUGUCAAAACGUGGAGCUCAACUCCAUUUCGGCAGUGGAAACUACGAGGCUUGAGUGUGGUAGGGGCAGAGGGAAUUCCCGGUGUAGCGGUGAAAUGCGUAGAUAUCGGGAAGAACACCAGUGGCGAAGGCGCUCUGCUGGGCCAUAACUGACGCUCAUGGACGAAAGCUAGGGGAGCGAAAGGGAUUAGAUACCCCUGUAGUCCUAGCCGUAAACGAUGAACACUAGGUGUCGGGGGAAUCGACCCCCUCGGUGUCGUAGCUAACGCGUUAAGUGUUCCGCCUGGGGAGUACGCACGCAAGUGUGAAACUUAAAUAAAUUGACGG
RNAcentral lists this ribosomal RNA (412 nucleotides) under uncultured organism. Its description in RNAcentral is "bacterial SSU rRNA". It matches the Rfam family "Bacterial small subunit ribosomal RNA", at positions 506 to 916 of the family's 1533-position model. The record is from RNAcentral.